GUGCUCGCUUUGGCAGCACAUAUACUAAAAUUGGAACGAUACAGAGAAGAUUAGCAUGGCCCCUGCAUAAGGAUGACAUGCAAAUUCGUGAAGCGUUCCAUAUUUUU
Cervus elaphus (red deer) is the source of this 107-nucleotide small nuclear RNA. The record is from RefSeq and is a predicted model, not a curated record. NCBI's taxonomy places the organism in Eukaryota, Metazoa, Chordata, Mammalia, Artiodactyla, Cervidae.